Molecule: ribosomal RNA, 771 nt
Filed under: uncultured Neocallimastigales
Lineage: Eukaryota; Fungi; Neocallimastigomycota; Neocallimastigomycetes; Neocallimastigales
Description: partial large subunit ribosomal RNA
Rfam family: Eukaryotic large subunit ribosomal RNA
Source: RNAcentral
UCAGACGAUGCGUCAUGCAUAUCAAUAAGCGGAGGAAAAGAAACUAACAAGGAUUCCCUUAGUAACGGCGAGUGAAGCGGGAAGAGCUCAAAUUUGAAAUCUUCAAGGUUUUACCUUGACGAAUUGUAGUUUAAAGAAGUGUUUUCUGCUGAAGUUUUGGUAAAAGUUCUUUGGAAUAGGACAUCAUAGAGGGUGAGAAUCCCGUAUUUGACCAUUAUUUUCAGCUUUGUGAUACACUUUCAAAGAGUCGGAUUGUUUGGGAAUGCAGUCCAAAAUGGGUGGUAAAUUUCUUCUAAGGCUAAAUAUUGGCGAGAGACCGAUAGCGAACAAGUACCGUGAGGGAAAGAUGAAAAGAACUUUGAAAAGAGAGUUAAAUAGUACGUGAAAUUGUCAAAAGGGAAGCGUUUAACACCAGUGUUGUUUUCUGAAAACCAACCUCUGUUAGCUUUAUGCAUGUUUGUUUAGACCUAAUCAGCUAUCUUGCAUGUUCUAUUGUUUGCAGUGGUGCACUUUUCAGUUUACAGGUCAACAUCAGUUUUUUUUACCGUAAAAAAGUUAAAGAAAGGUAGCUCAUGGCUCCGGUCGUGAGUGUUAUAGUCUUUUUCCUAUGCGGUAGGAGAGACUGAGGUCUGCAGUGUAGGCUAUUUGGCUAGAUACUCAGGUGCUAUGUGAUACCAUUUCAUAAACAACUUGUUGAUUAUGUUUUGUCUAUUGCAUACUCGCUUGUACUAUCAUACCUACGCUUAGGAUGUUGACUGAUAUGUAGUCGUA